This 279-nucleotide ribosomal RNA is filed under the name uncultured bacterium. RNAcentral describes it as "partial 16S ribosomal RNA". It matches the Rfam family "Bacterial small subunit ribosomal RNA", at positions 506 to 784 of the family's 1533-position model. The record is from RNAcentral.
UGCCAGCCGCCGCGGUAAUACGGAGGGUGCGAGCGUUAAUCGGAAUUACUGGGCGUAAAGCGCGCGUAGGUGGCCUUUUAAGUCAGAUGUGAAAGCCCCGGGCUUAACCUGGGAACUGCAUUUGAUACUGGGAGGCUAGAGUAUAGUAGAGGCAAGUGGAAUUUCCUGUGUAGCGGUGAAAUGCGUAGAUAUAGGAAGGAACACCAGUGGCGAAGGCGGCUUGCUGGACUAAUACUGACACUGAGGUGCGAAAGCGUGGGGAGCAAACAGGAUUAGAUA